AGCUUGUUGGUGAGGUAAUGGCUCACCAAGGCGACGACGGGUAGCCGGCCUGAGAGGGCGACCGGCCACACUGGGACUGAGACACGGCCCAGACUCCUACGGGAGGCAGCAGUGGGGAAUAUUGCACAAUGGGCGAAAGCCUGAUGCAGCGACGCCGCGUGAGGGAUGACGGCCUUCGGGUUGUAAACCUCUUUCAGCAGGGAAGAAGCGAAAGUGACGGUACCUGCAGAAGAAGCGCCGGCUAACUACGUGCCAGCAGCCGCGGUAAUACGUAGGGCGCAAGCGUUGUCCGGAAUUAUUGGGCGUAAAGAGCUCGUAGGCGGCUUGUCGCGUCGGUUGUGAAAGCCCGGGGCUUAACCCCGGGUCUGCAGUCGAUACGGGCAGGCUAGAGUUCGGUAGGGGAGAUCGGAAUUCCUGGUGUAGCGGUGAAAUGCGCAGAUAUCAGGAGGAACACCGGUGGCGAAGGCGGAUCUCUGGGCCGAUACUGACGCUGAGGAGCGAAAGCGUGGGGAGCGAACAGGAUUAGAUACCCUGGUAGUCCACGCCGUAAACGGUGGGCACUAGGUGUGGGCGACAUUCCACGUCGUCCGUGCCGCAGCUAACGCAUUAAGUGCCCCGCCU
Molecule: ribosomal RNA, 621 nt
Filed under: Streptomyces sp. CVIYE4
Lineage: Bacteria; Bacillati; Actinomycetota; Actinomycetes; Kitasatosporales; Streptomycetaceae
Description: bacterial SSU rRNA
Rfam family: Bacterial small subunit ribosomal RNA
Source: RNAcentral